AUACCAUGGUGAGGACAUUGCCUAAGCAGCUCUUUGAAUUGUUCCCAGGCUUCAAAAUUGAUUCUUCAUCUCCUUGCCUAAAUGAGGUGGUUUCAUUUCUCAUAUU
This is a small nucleolar RNA of Vicia villosa (hairy vetch), 106 nucleotides long. The record is from RefSeq and is a predicted model, not a curated record. Lineage: Eukaryota; Viridiplantae; Streptophyta; Magnoliopsida; Fabales; Fabaceae.